CGCGGCCUAUCAGCUUGUUGGUGGGGUGACGGCCUACCAAGGCGACGACGGGUAGCCGGCCUGAGAGGGUGUCCGGCCACACUGGGACUGAGAUACGGCCCAGACUCCUACGGGAGGCAGCAGUGGGGAAUAUUGCACAAUGGGCGCAAGCCUGAUGCAGCGACGCCGCGUGGGGGAUGACGGCCUUCGGGUUGUAAACCUCUUUCACCAUCGACGAAGGUCCGGGGUUUCUCGGAUUGACGGUAGGUGGAGAAGAAGCACCGGCCAACUACGUGCCAGCAGCCGCGGUAAUACGUAGGGUGCGAGCGUUGUCCGGAAUUGCUGGGCGUAAAGAGCUCGUAGGUGGUUUGUCGUGUUGUUCGUGAAAUCUCACGGCUUAACUGUGAGCGUGCGGGCGAUACGGGCAGACUGGAGUACUGCAGGGGAGACUGGAAUUCCUGGUGUAGCGGUGGAAUGCGCAGAUAUCAGGAGGAACACCGGUGGCGAAGGCGGGUCUCUGGGCAGUAACUGACGCUGAGGAGCGAAAGCGUGGGGAGCGAACAGGAUUAGAUACCCUGGUAGUCCACGCCGUAAACGGUGGGUACUAGGUGUGGGUUUCCUUCCUUGGGAUCCGUGCCGUAGCUAACGCAUUAAGUACCCCGCC
This 643-nucleotide ribosomal RNA is filed under the name uncultured bacterium. RNAcentral describes it as "bacterial SSU rRNA". It matches the Rfam family "Bacterial small subunit ribosomal RNA", at positions 232 to 873 of the family's 1533-position model. The record is from RNAcentral.